GAUGAAGAACGUAGCGAAAUGCGAUAAGUAAUGUGAAUUGCAGAAUUCAGUGAAUCAUCGAAUCUUUGAACGCACAUUGCGCCCGCCAGCACUCUGGCGGGCAUGCCUGUUCGAGCGUCAUUUCAACCAUCAAGCCCCCAGGGGCUUGUGCUGGGGCCCAGCGGCUGCCCGCAGGCCCUGAAAACCAGUGGCGGGCUCGCUAGUCACACCGAGCGCAGUAGCACAUCUCGCUCAGGGCGUGCGGCGGGCUCCUGCCGUGAAACCCCCCGCUGUAACCCCAAAGGUUGACCUCGGAUCAGGUAGGAAUACCCGCUGAACUUAAGCAUAUCAAUAAGCGGAGGA
This 342-nucleotide unclassified non-coding RNA is filed under the name soil metagenome. RNAcentral's name for it is "partial contains 5.8S ribosomal RNA, internal transcribed spacer 2, and large subunit ribosomal RNA". The stretch from base 1 to 120 matches the Rfam family "5.8S ribosomal RNA", at positions 35 to 154 of the family's 154-position model. The record is from RNAcentral.